RNAcentral lists this ribosomal RNA (253 nucleotides) under uncultured bacterium. RNAcentral's name for it is "partial 16S ribosomal RNA". It matches the Rfam family "Bacterial small subunit ribosomal RNA", at positions 524 to 776 of the family's 1533-position model. The record is from RNAcentral.
UACGUAGGGGGCAAGCGUUGUCCGGAUUUAUUGGGCGUAAAGAGCGUGUAGGCGGCCAUGUAGGUCCGUUGUGAAAACUCGAGGCUCAACCUCGAGACGCCGACGGAAACCAUGUGGCUAGAGUCCGGAAGAGGAGAGUGGAAUUCCUGGUGUAGCGGUGAAAUGCGCAGAUAUCAGGAAGAACACCCGUGGCGAAGGCGGCUCUCUGGAACGCAACUGACGCUGAGACGCGAAAGCGUGGGGAGCAAACAGG